AACUUUUAUAGGAUAGAAGUAAUCCGUUGGUCUUAGGAACCAAAAAAUUGGUGCAACUCCAG
This 62-nucleotide transfer RNA is filed under the name Canis lupus familiaris (dog). Its description in RNAcentral is "tRNA-Leu". It matches the Rfam family "tRNA", at positions 1 to 62 of the family's 71-position model. From Rfam's summary of the family: Transfer RNA (tRNA) molecules are approximately 80 nucleotides in length. The record is from RNAcentral. Lineage: Eukaryota; Metazoa; Chordata; Mammalia; Carnivora; Canidae.